RNAcentral lists this ribosomal RNA (429 nucleotides) under Actinomycetes bacterium. RNAcentral describes it as "Actinobacteria bacterium partial 16S ribosomal RNA". It matches the Rfam family "Bacterial small subunit ribosomal RNA", at positions 355 to 776 of the family's 1533-position model. Lineage: Bacteria; Bacillati; Actinomycetota; Actinomycetes. The record is from RNAcentral.
UAGGGAAUCUUCCGCAAUGGGCGAAAGCCUGACGGAGCAACGCCGCGUGAGUGAUGAAGGUCUUCGGAUCGUAAAACUCUGUUAUUAGGGAAGAACAAAUGUGUAAGUAACUAUGCACGUCUUGACGGUACCUAAUCAGAAAGCCACGGCUAACUACGUGCCAGCAGCCGCGGUAAUACGUAGGUGGCAAGCGUUAUCCGGAAUUAUUGGGCGUAAAGCGCGCGUAGGCGGUUUUUUAAGUCUGAUGUGAAAGCCCACGGCUCAACCGUGGAGGGUCAUUGGAAACUGGAAAACUUGAGUGCAGUAGAGGAAAGUGGAAUUCCAUGUGUAGCGGUAAAAUGCGCAGAGAUAUGGAGGAACACCAGUGGCGAAGGCGACUUUCUGGUCUGUAACUGACGCUGAUGUGCGAAAGCGUGGGGAUCAAACAGG